Molecule: microRNA precursor, 190 nt
Filed under: Oryza brachyantha (malo sina)
Lineage: Eukaryota; Viridiplantae; Streptophyta; Magnoliopsida; Poales; Poaceae
Description: MIR812 microRNA precursor family
Rfam family: MIR812 microRNA precursor family
Source: Rfam by way of RNAcentral
UUGAAGAUCAUUUUUCAGUUUUUUAAUACAAUAUUUUGAUUAUUUGUUUUAUUUAAAAUUUUUUUAUGAUUAAUUUUUUCUUACUAGAUGAUAAAGCAUGAACAGUACUUUAUGUAUGACUAAUUUUUUUAAUAUUUUUUAUAAAUUUUUUAAAUAAGACGAAUGGUCAAACAUUGGACUACGAAAAAAC